ACCACACCCACGCUUGAGCUCAAAAUCCCUAUACGCCUCCACCAUUUCUCCACCCGCCGCUCCUCUUCCCCUUCAAAACACACCCACGCGUUUCACCCACGCCCUUCUUCCCCUUCUUCGCCAUCUUCUUCAGUGUUUGCUCCGCCUUCUUCUCCAGCCGCCGCUCCUCCUCCGCGGCCUUCCACUCUUCUAGCCAUCGCCGAUUCUCUCUAGCUCUAGAUCUCUCUGUCGCUCUUUCUCUCUCUAGCCACUGAAUUUCACCGUCGCCGACGCCGAUUCUCGCUUUUGCCGCCGCCGGUCAACACCUCCUCCUUCUUUCCGAUAUCAGUUAUGUCUACUCGUAAGAGAAAGCUAUCGUUUAGUUCUGGUUCAAAAUCCAAAUCCGCUCCAUCUCUGCGGGAUGUUGAGGCAUCUCUUUGGACUCCUUCAGUGGCAUCUUUAGGCACAUUAGGCUCAUCCACAUCUUCACGAGCAGAUAAUGAGUCAUCUCAUGAUCAUCAACAAUUGCAUGAGGAUCAACCUCCGGAGAUUCUACGUUUCAAUACACCAUGGUCAACAAAUGUUUGAGGACCAACUACAUGUCAAGGAAUUAACAAGUUAGUGUCCAAGAAAGGAAAGCUUCAAGUACAAUUUAGGGAAUCUGAGCUCCGAGUUUACGGGGAGCAUGCGGGCCGAUUUGCGAGCAAAAUCGGUUCUAUAGUUCGUCACCAUGCUCCAUUAAAGUAUAGUGGUUGGGGUAAGAUUCCUGAAAACGAACAGAAUGAAUGCAUAAGACGAUUGAAGGUAAAAUUUUCUAUUGUAACUUAUUCUUUAUAACGAUUGCACUUAUGUAAAAACAAAUUUAGCAACUUUUUUUUCUUUAAGAUCUAUUUAAUUUAGAUUUUGAGGCGCAUCCACAAUUGAAAGACAUUGUGCAUCAAUAUUUCUAUGAGCGCUUUAAAGGUUAUCGAUAUCGGUGCCACCAAAAAUAUCAAGCCAUUAUUGAUGAAGGAAAAGAUCCAUUGCAACAUUUACUGAAUCCAUACAUUAAAUCAGAUGAUUGGGAGUGGAUGUGCACGAAUUGCUUUGGCGAUGAUCAAUGCUAGAAAAUAGCACAGGUUGCUGCUGAAAAUUAUUCUAAAAAGCCAACAGGUUAUUUGGGUGGCUCAAGAUCUAUAGUUCAACAUUUGGAGGAAGUCCAUAACACACAUUCAAGUUCUGACUCAAAUGCUUCGGGAGGGUAUUUUGAGGUCUUUAAGAACACUCAUUGGAGCGAAUCACGGGGAUGGAGAACUGAGAGAACAAAGGAAGAUUAUGUAAGAAUUAUUAAACACUUUAUCAUUUCGUUUGAUUUUGUAUUUUUUUUACUCUAACUUGAGUUUAUAACACUUUGCCUAAUGCAAGAACAAAUGAUUAAGAUCCGCAAUGCUCGUUUAAGUGAAGUAUUAGAGGGGUAAGAACUUGACUCUGAUGCAGAGGAAGAAAUUUACUCUCAAGUUUUGUCAAGUGAGAGGUAUGAAAAAUAUGGUUUUAAGCGUGACAUAGGCCCUGUACUAAAAAAAGCGCCACAAGGUCGCAAAUCUAGAGGGUUAGGAUAUGAAAAGCUUGAAAAUGAAGUUCAGGAAAAUAAACGUCGUAUGUCGGAUAUGAAAAUUCUAAUAAAGCAACAACAUGAGCUUAUUCAAAAGUUAUUUUAACAGAUAAAUCCGCCGUCCGAUCAUCCUGGACCUUCCGUUCCAAGAAUAGAAUAUCCACCGCUACCGCCACCACCAGCCUCAAUUUGUUAGAGCGUUUAAUUUUUGUAAUAUUAAGAUUUUAUUAGUACAAUAUUUGCAUAAAUGUUUAGGUUUGUUUAAGUAUCAUUAUUUUAGUAUUUUGUUUGGAUUAUAAUAUGUAUUGAAAUAUUUAGAGAUUUUUAAA
This is a long non-coding RNA of Morus notabilis, 1899 nucleotides long. RefSeq lists it as uncharacterized. NCBI's taxonomy places the organism in Eukaryota, Viridiplantae, Streptophyta, Magnoliopsida, Rosales, Moraceae. The record is from RefSeq and is a predicted model, not a curated record. The transcript is spliced from 5 exons.